AGUGAACGCUGGCGGUAGGCCUAACACAUGCAAGUCGAACGGCAGCACAGUAAGAGCUUGCUCUUACGGGUGGCGAGUGGCGGACGGGUGAGGAAUACCUCGGAUUCUACUUUUUCGUGGGGGAUAACGUAGGGAAACUUACGCUAAUACCGCAUACGACCUACGGGUGAAAGCAGGGGAUCUUCGGACCUUGCGCGAUUGAAUGAGCCGAUGUCGGAUUAGCUAGUUGGCGGGGUAAAGGCCCACCAAGGCGACGAUCCGUAGCUGGUCUGAGAGGAUGAUCAGCCACACUGGAACUGAGACACGGUCCAGACUCCUACGGGAGGCAGCAGUGGGGAAUAUUGGACAAUGGGCGCAAGCCUGAUCCAGCCAUACCGCGUGGGUGAAGAAGGCCUUCGGGUUGUAAAGCCCUUUUGUUGGGAAAGAAAAGCAGCAGGUUAAUACCCCGCUGUUCUGACGGUACCCAAAGAAUAAGCACCGGCUAACUUCGUG
RNAcentral lists this ribosomal RNA (492 nucleotides) under uncultured bacterium. Its description in RNAcentral is "partial 16S ribosomal RNA". It matches the Rfam family "Bacterial small subunit ribosomal RNA", at positions 29 to 507 of the family's 1533-position model. The record is from RNAcentral.